GGGCCGUACUUUAAAAACCUUUCGCCAGGCCUGGCACUGGAGUUCUCCGGGCGAUCCGAUAUUUGGUACCAUUAGACGGAAUGAACGCUUCGCCGGGCUAAGCCUCGCCAGCGCUGAGGACGAAAUAGUAAUGGAACUUGCCGCCGAACGAAAGUCCAGGCGGAGGCUUCCUUUCCCGCUGGCGAAAGGCAUAAAUUUGAAUUGUUUUACUAUGUCUGCAGUAGCAUGAGAAGUUGAACGAAUUAGAAAAGACACACUCAUUUAUUUUUGCAAUAACUCAAGCAAGUUUUAUAAAUAUCGAUGUAUUUACAUAUUUUUUCAAGACUAUGUAGUAUCGCUCCAUGAGGAUUCAAGACGCCUGCCUCCUCCGGUAUUGACAUAAGAGUGCAAGCAAGUAUAAAGGCUGUAGUCACUGUCUAGUGGGGUCACUCCCUCCUAAACCUAGAUCAAGAGCAAGACCCAGAUGAUGGCAGCCUUACAAGUUUUUGAGGAGCUUGAUGUCCUCGAGGAUGCUGCAGGGGAAAGGGUCAGACUGCCGAGAAGGAUUGUGAAGGAUCGCUUGGAUUUAUUCCUGACUUUGACUGAAGAGGAAUUUACAUCCAGGUUCAGGAUAUCAAAGCAAAGCGCAAGGGCCUUACUUGCUGACUUACAUUUACCAGAGGCAGCUGAUGCAAGAGGAUGUCCUGUACCACCUCACCUUCAACUCCUCAUCACCUUAAGAUGGAUGGCCACUGGUGACCUGCACCAAACUAUUGGAGAUUGCCUGGAUGUCUCUCAGCAGUUUGUAAGUUCAUGCUCUUCACGUACUGUGCGUGCCAUUGCUGCUUUAUAUCAGCGGUAUGUAAAGAAUUCCUGGAAGGCAUGAGUUAGGGUCCAUCAAGACAAACUUUGAAGCAAUCUCUGGAUUCCCAGGUGUCAUUGGUGCAAUAGACUGCACACAUCCC
Eriocheir sinensis (Chinese mitten crab) is the source of this 944-nucleotide long non-coding RNA. RefSeq lists it as uncharacterized. NCBI's taxonomy places the organism in Eukaryota, Metazoa, Arthropoda, Malacostraca, Decapoda, Varunidae. The transcript is spliced from 4 exons. The record is from RefSeq and is a predicted model, not a curated record.